Molecule: long non-coding RNA, 348 nt
Filed under: Helianthus annuus (common sunflower)
Lineage: Eukaryota; Viridiplantae; Streptophyta; Magnoliopsida; Asterales; Asteraceae
Description: hypothetical non coding rna
Source: RNAcentral
AUGUAUGAGCUUGUAUGCAAGCUCUAUCAUAAUUACCUUAUUGAAGCCUACAUUGUUUGCUUUUUAUUGCUGGAAGUAGUGGGAAAGUUAGCUUUAGAAACUAUAGGUGUCAUGGUCUAACUUUUUUAGUAGGAUUGGAAAUCUCAUUCAUCAAUUGUCCUUUUUGAGAGUUAUCUGAACCAUUUUCCAUUGCAACAACACUUUUGGAACUAGAAGAUGAUUUACCAGUAGCAAGUGAAACUGAUAAUCAAGCAGCAAUAGAACCUCACAAAAACAAGCAGGGUUACAUUUCCCAAUCUGCUGUGGUAUUAUGCUGUCCGUUGGAUCUGUUGCAAAGGUUUGCUAAUC